UGUCUUUGAGGUGGGGAAAACCUCGGGAAACGUGAGGCUAAUACCGAAUGUAGCGCCCGCUCGCAUGGAGCGGAGCGCCAAAGGGGGCGAAAGCUCCCCCUCUUCGAGGGGCCCGCGCACCAUCAGCUAGUCGGCGGGGUAACGGCCCACCGAGGCUCACGGUUAGCUGGUCUGAGAGGAUGGCCAGCCGCACUGGGACUGAGAUACUGCCCAGACUCCUACGGGAGGCUGCAGUCGAGGUAUCAUUUGCAAUGGGCGAAGGCCUGACAAUGCGACGCUGGCGUGGAGGAUGAAGGCCCUCGGGUUGUUAAACUCCUGUCAAUGGGGGAAAAGGAAAAGGGACCCAACACGUCCCCGAUUUGAUGGUACCCCAAGAGGAAGCGACGGCUAACUCUGUGCCAGCCGCGGC
RNAcentral lists this ribosomal RNA (409 nucleotides) under uncultured bacterium. Its description in RNAcentral is "bacterial SSU rRNA". It matches the Rfam family "Bacterial small subunit ribosomal RNA", at positions 127 to 518 of the family's 1533-position model. The record is from RNAcentral.